UACACAAGUGACUCAACAUUAAUAUUAACAAAAUCUAUUGUUAAAGGAUAAAACACUUGUAAAUCACAUAUUUACUUUCUUCAUUUUUAUUUGGUAUUAGCUUUUUAAACAAUCAUUUAUUUUAAUAAUUUUUAUCUACUGAUAUAAAGUGGGAGUGCCUAGGCUGAAAGGUAGGCGAGAGCCUGAUUGGAAAAGUCACAAGGAGAAGCUACAGAAGAAUUCCCAGCAGAAGUGCAGCACAAUCAGAGCUUAGGGAAUGGUGGCGUGAGGACAAACCAGAGAACAGCAAGCCUAGAUGUGAAGGACUGUAUAUUGCAAAUGGAAAAGUACCACUAAAAACAGCACCAUGGAAAACAUUGGCAGAGAAGCUGCUGAGUCUACCACUACUAAGGGAACUGAGUGACCAGAGGCAAAAGCUACAAAGGAAAAAAUAUACA
Long non-coding RNA from Myotis davidii, 437 nucleotides. RefSeq lists it as uncharacterized. NCBI's taxonomy places the organism in Eukaryota, Metazoa, Chordata, Mammalia, Chiroptera, Vespertilionidae. The record is from RefSeq and is a predicted model, not a curated record. The transcript is spliced from 3 exons.